This 446-nucleotide ribosomal RNA is filed under the name uncultured bacterium. RNAcentral describes it as "bacterial SSU rRNA". It matches the Rfam family "Bacterial small subunit ribosomal RNA", at positions 330 to 793 of the family's 1533-position model. The record is from RNAcentral.
CCCAGACUCCUACGGGAGGCAGCAGUGGGGGAUAUUGCACAAUGGGGGAAACCCUGAUGCAGCGACGCCGCGUGGGUGAAGAAGCGCCUCGGCGCGUAAAGCCCUGUCAGCAGGGAAGAAAAUGACGGUACCUGAAGAAGAAGCCCCGGCUAACUACGUGCCAGCAGCCGCGGUAAUACGUAGGGGGCAAGCGUUAUCCGGAUUUACUGGGUGUAAGGGGGGCGCAGACGGCGAUGCAAGCCAGGAGUGAAAGCCCGGGGCCCAACCCCGGGACUGCUCUUGGAACUGCGUGGCUGGAGUGCAGGAGGGGCAGGCGGAAUUCCUGGUGUAGCGGUGAAAUGCGUAGAUAUCAGGAGGAACACCGGUGGCGAAGGCGGCCUGCUGGACUGCAACUGACGUUGAGGCCCGAAAGCGUGGGGAGCAAACAGGAUUAGAUACCCCAGUAC